Long non-coding RNA from Lutra lutra (Eurasian river otter), 1943 nucleotides. RefSeq lists it as uncharacterized. The transcript has 3 exons. NCBI's taxonomy places the organism in Eukaryota, Metazoa, Chordata, Mammalia, Carnivora, Mustelidae. The record is from RefSeq and is a predicted model, not a curated record.
CAGUGCCUUCUCCUACUCCCCAUCCUACCGCGCCCCCCCCCCCCCCAUCUUCAAGACUGUUAUUCUCUCCACCCAUGGUUCUGGUGCCUCACUUUUGACUUCACCCAACAUCUUGUUACAGGGCUGCUGUCCUUUCUAGUUGAGGAUUAGCCCAGGCUUUAUAAAUCCCUGAUCCAGGUUACUACACCAACCUCUUGACUAGUCUCCCUCUAAUCCUCCUUCUAAUGUGCAAAUCUGUUAUUUCUAGAACUGUGUGGAUGCUUCACCCAGACCCUUUGGAAUCUCUUUUUGUUGCUUCUUCAGAUCCAGAUUACUUCUGAUGUGCAUUCAAAAGCCAGAGGCUCUUUAUCAAACUAUCCCUUGGGCCAAUAAAGCUGUUUUGCCUAAAUAAAGCUGAAAAGGCAGGUGGGGGGCUGGGAGGAGUGGGGGUGGGGUGGGGACACGCCUGGGUGGCUCAGCCUAGGUGGCUCAGUUGAUUUCAUAUCCAUCCGACUCCCACUUUUGGCUCAGGUCAUGAUCUCAGGGUCAUGAGAUCAAGCCCUGUGGUGGGGUCUGGGCUCAGUACAGAUUCUGCUUGGGAUUCUCUCUGUCCUCUUCUCUCUCUCAAAUAAGUAAAUAAAAUCUUAAAAAAGCAAAGGGAAGUUUUCAGUUUGGAAGUUUAAGUACCUAUCCACCCCUACUUUCCAAUACAGACAUUAACCAAUGAUUAUCAAGCAGAGUUCAUCAAUGACUGUGGAACUUAGCUCUCUUGCCUCCAACUCUAAGGCAGAACUUACUAGCUAGCCCUGCACUUUUGCCUGAGAUGAUAUCCUUGUCUGGCCUCCUGCCCUUCCCUUUCCUGCUUCUCCUACUCCCUAACUGGAGCACUUUCUCAACAAAUCACAUAGACACAAAGCCUCCUUUCAGCGUCUGCUUCUAGGAAAUCCAACCGGAAACAUCUCUGCCCUGCUGAAAAUCUGUCCAUGGAUUCGUGCUGCCUACAGGAUAAAAGCCUGUAUUUCCUGGCCAGACUCCAAGCACGUCCCCUGCGCCACAGCCAGCAGGAUUUUCAGCCUGCUUCCUGGCAAUAUCCUGGACGGAGCCACGAGGCCUCUGAGCUCUGGAGGCAGGCACGGCUCCAGCCGGUGGAAGAAGGGAGAAGGAAGGCUGGUUCCGGUGGGGAGGACAGCAUGCGCAGAGAAGCAAAGGACUCGGAGUGCUUGCAGUGUGCCAGAGCUCGGCGCUCACGUGGCCGGGGCGUGUCCGGGAGAGGGUUGCUGUAGUGGCCCAGAGGCGGAGGCGUCUGGGCAGGACUUCACCCCAACUGACCUGGCUGUCUUGGCCCCCGGCUCGGCCUAAACUCGUUGCUGACACUUGGCGGCGGAGGGUGGACAUGCACCCGGGCGUUUCAUAACACUCGUGCACAGUCCACCACUGCUUGGGCACUCUUUGAUGAGUCGUGUGUUGUAUUAAUUUAAUCUUCAUAGCAACCCAUGAGGCAGCAACUAUUAUUAUUAUUUUACAGAACGAUUAAAAGACUUGUUCUGCUCUUUUCUCUCUGUCCUUACCCCCCACACGCAAUGGCUCCAGCCACACUGUCCUCCCUGUUGCUCCCUAAGCAAAGCAGGUAGGUUCUGCCUCAGAGCCUCUUACUGGCUGUCCUCUCUGUCUGGAACGCCCUUCCCUAGAUACCCACAUAGCUGACCCCUCACCUCCUUCAAGCCUUCCCCCAAAUGUCAACUGAAUGAAGCCCACACUGACCAUCCUAUUUGAACUUGCAGUCACCUCCAUUCCCCUCACUCUAGUUUUUAUUUUAUUUGUAGCAUUUGUCACCAACAAGAUCCUAUAUACUUUAUGUAUUGAUUGUGCACUUUUUCAUCUUUUUAAAAGGAUUUACUUAUUUAUUUGUUUGAAAGAGUAGGGGGAGGGGCAGAAGGAGAAGGAGAGAGAGAAUCUCAGGCAGA